This 253-nucleotide ribosomal RNA is filed under the name uncultured bacterium. RNAcentral describes it as "partial 16S ribosomal RNA". It matches the Rfam family "Archaeal small subunit ribosomal RNA", at positions 474 to 727 of the family's 1478-position model. The record is from RNAcentral.
UACCAGCACCCCGAGUGGUCGGGGCGAUUAUUGGGCCUAAAGCCUCCGUAGCCGGUCCUGCAAGUCUUCCGUUAAAUCCAGCUGCUCAACAGAUGGGCUGCGGGGGAUACUACAGGGCUAGGAGGCGGGAGAGGCGAGCGGUACUUUAUGGGUAGGGGUAAAAUCCGUUGAUCCAUAGAAGACCACCAGUGGCGAAGGCGGCUUGCCAGAACGCGCUCGACGGUGAGGGAUGAAAGCUGGGGGAGCAAACCGG